UUGUUGGUAAGGUAAAAGCUUACCAAGGCUUCGAUCAGUAGCUGGUCUGAGAGGACGACCAGCCACACUGGGACUGAGACACGGCCCAGACUCCUACGGGAGGCAGCAGUGGGGAAUUUUGGACAAUGGGGGCAACCCUGAUCCAGCCAUGCCGCGUGAGUGAAGAAGGCCUUCGGGUUGUAAAGCUCUUUCAGCCGGAACGAAACGGUUACGGAUAAUACCCGUGACUACUGACGGUACCGGAAGAAGAAGCACCGGCUAACUACGUGCCAGCAGCCGCGGUAAUACGUAGGGUGCAAGCGUUAAUCGGAAUUACUGGGCGUAAAGCGUGCGCAGGUGGUUUUGUAAGUCAGAUGUGAAAGCCCCGGGCUCAACCUGGGAACUGCGUUUGAAACUACAAGACUAGAGUGUGGCAGAGGGGGGUGGAAUUCCGCGUGUAGCAGUGAAAUGCGUAGAGAUGUGGAGGAACACCGAUGGCGAAGGCAGCCCCCUGGGUUAACACUGACACUCAGGCACGAAAGCAUGGGGAGCAAACAGGAUUAGAUACCCUGGUAGUCCAUGCCCUAAACGAUGUCAACUAGUUGUCGGGCCUUUACGGGCUUGGUAACGUAGCUAACGCGUGAAGUUGACCGCCUGGGGAGUACGAUCGCAAGAUUAAAACCCAAAUGAAUUGACGGGGACCCGCACAAGCGGUGGAUUAUGUGGAUUAAUUCGAUGCAACGCGAAAAACCUUACCUACCCUUGACAUGUAUCGAAGCCCGCAGAAAAGCGGGGGUGCCCGAAAGGGAACGAUAACACAGGUGCUGCAUGGCUGUCGUCAGCUCGUGUCGUGAGAUGUUGGGUUAAGUCCCGCAACGAGCGCAACCCUUGUCAUUAAUUGCCAUCAUUUAGUUGGGCACUUUAAUGAGACUGCCGG
This 916-nucleotide ribosomal RNA is filed under the name uncultured bacterium. Its description in RNAcentral is "bacterial SSU rRNA". It matches the Rfam family "Bacterial small subunit ribosomal RNA", at positions 246 to 1155 of the family's 1533-position model. The record is from RNAcentral.